UACAGAGGUCCCAAGCGUUGUUCGGAUUCACUGGGCGUAAAGGGUGCGUAGGCGGUCGGGUAAGUCUGAUGUGAAAUCCCGCAGCUCAACUGCGGAACGGCAUUGGAUACUAUCCGGCUUGAGGAAUGGAGGGGAGACUGGAAUUCUCGGUGUAGCAGUGAAAUGCGUAGAUAUCGAGAGGAACACCGGUGGCGAAGGCGAGUCUCUGGACAUUUCCUGACGCUGAGGCACGAAAGCCAGGGGAGCAAACGGG
This 253-nucleotide ribosomal RNA is filed under the name uncultured bacterium. RNAcentral's name for it is "partial 16S ribosomal RNA". It matches the Rfam family "Bacterial small subunit ribosomal RNA", at positions 524 to 776 of the family's 1533-position model. The record is from RNAcentral.